GAGCCUAAGGACAGCCUUUGCUCAGGGUUGUGUUUAAUUCUCCUUUCCUCUCAAGCAGUUUCCUCCUUUUGUUCCGUCCUGUCUGUUGUGGAAGUUUAGGAACUGAAGCAAGGCAUGCCGUAGAGUGAGACCAGCAUCACACUGCCACCUUGCAAAGCACUAGACUGAGAGAUGCAAACCCAAACCAAAAAGGUACGCCUUCUAAGGCCACCACCAUGACCGAGGCACAAGACACAAACAGCAGCAAAGGAAGCCUUGCAGUUAAGGAUACAUCUGCUGGGUGCCUAGCAUCCUCAGCUCCGCUUUCAUCUUUUCGUGUCUCAACACAUUGUUUCCUCCAGUCCUGAUGGCAGUGUGGAAGGGAGCCAUCCCACCCGGCCGCGCUUUGGGAUUGGCAGCGAAUGAAUGAUUGGCAGCGGGCAUCUCUGUCAGAGCUUUGGCAUGCCGCAGAGUGGGAGCCCCGUGCUAAUGAAUGCCAUCUACACCUACCAGAUGUGCCCUGGGUGGCAUGCCAGGUCUUUUACAUAAUGCCAUUCUGCCGGACACGAGACAGCUGGGGGUGGGGGUGUCUUUUGAUGCCUAGGGGUAGGAGUGGGUCUGUCUUCCCUUUAUUUUAUUUUUUAUAUUCAGACUACCUUUCACUGUCCAUAAGUUCACUCAGCCCCCAUUAUGUUACCCCUGAAGAGUCUGACGCUGAAGAUGUCGAAGGGACAGCUCUACGCUGGAGAAAGUAUAGAGUCCUCGGAACGUGUACCCUGGCCUCCUGUGCACCAUCGCUUACCUGCUACUUCCUCGGGUUUGUUCUCGGCUGGCAUCGCCAGAGAAACCUCUUAGACGUGUACAGAAGGAAUUAAAAGCUCCUGGGAGACCUGAAAUGAGAGGAGGGGAGGAGAGAGGCCACCCUCUCUGUUAAAAGAAAAAAAAAGUGCACUGAGCGUCCCACGCUUCCUCGGACCCCUGGUUCUUCCCUCUGCCACCACCCUUAAGAAACUAAAGUCUGUUUUCCCGAGGGAA
Mesocricetus auratus (golden hamster) is the source of this 1014-nucleotide long non-coding RNA. RefSeq lists it as uncharacterized. The record is from RefSeq and is a predicted model, not a curated record. Lineage: Eukaryota; Metazoa; Chordata; Mammalia; Rodentia; Cricetidae. The transcript is spliced from 2 exons.